This 65-nucleotide transfer RNA is filed under the name Ophiura albida. Its description in RNAcentral is "transfer RNA-Pro". Lineage: Eukaryota; Metazoa; Echinodermata; Ophiuroidea; Amphilepidida; Ophiuridae. The record is from RNAcentral.
GCAAAGGUAGUUUAUUAAAAUAUAGACUUUGGGUGUCUAAGAUAUUAGCUUUCUAAUUCUUUGAA